UACGGAGGGUGCAAGCGUUAAUCGGAAUUAUUGGGCGUAAAGCGCGCGCAGGCGGUCCUUUAAGUCUGAUGUGAAAGCCCACGGCUCAACCGUGGAGGGUCAUUGGAAACUGGGGGACUUGAGUGCAGAAGAGGAAAGCGGAAUUCCACGUGUAGCGGUGAAAUGCGUAGAGAUGUGGAGGAACACCAGUGGCGAAGGCGGCUUUCUGGUCUGUAACUGACGCUGAGGCGCGAAAGCGUGGGGAGCAAACAGG
Molecule: ribosomal RNA, 253 nt
Filed under: uncultured bacterium
Lineage: Bacteria
Description: partial 16S ribosomal RNA
Rfam family: Bacterial small subunit ribosomal RNA
Source: RNAcentral